RNAcentral lists this long non-coding RNA (2201 nucleotides) under Sus scrofa (pig). RNAcentral describes it as "lncRNA (ENSSSCG00040040918.1)". Lineage: Eukaryota; Metazoa; Chordata; Mammalia; Artiodactyla; Suidae. The record is from RNAcentral.
CAUUUCCUUUUGCUGGUGUAUGUUGGUGGUAAAUGCCCUUUUUUUAGUUGUCUCAGAUAUCUUUAUUUUGCCCUAAAUUUUGAAAGGGACUUUGGCUGGGUACAUGAUUCUAGGUAAGAAGUCGUUUUUUUCUUUCCACCUUGUACGACUGUUGUGAAGAUUACCCGAAUUCAUACCUAAAGCUCCUAGCACUAGGCCUGGCAUGUUUGCUUGUUAUGUAAUAGUGGCUCUUACAUUCUCAGAAAAAUACUGGAACAAAUUUGAGACAAUUUAAGUUUAGUUGGAACGGUCAUACUUUCAUGCCUUUUUUUUUUCUCGUUAUUUCCUUAAAAUUUUUGGACGGGAGUAGGUUUUAAUAUGCAACAUUACUAGCUUUAAAGAUAGAGUUUGACUCAGCCAGGGGUUCUGUCAUUUGCUAGUUGUAAAUACCCUUUGCACAUUAUCUUACCUGUCUGAGGUGGUUUUUUGUUUUUUGUUUUUUGUUUUUGCAUAUAAAAUGGUUAUCAUAUAACUGUUUCUUAGGGAAAUACUGUUUGCUUUGAAAAUUAUGUGAGAAUACAUUUAAAACUCUUCGUAAAGCCUCACAUAGUAGGUGGCUAAUUAUGUUAAUUAUUUGUUGCCUGAUUAUGAUUUUUACAUAGAUGUUAUCAACUUUUCUUUUUCUGCUCUGUUUUUAUUUCCUAUUCCCCAAAUCCAUGAAAAGGAGGAGUGUCUUUUGCAUGAUGUUUACUCUGCUGGCUGGGAAGGCCUUCUGUGCUUGGAGGCAGCAUUUUUAUACUUGUCUUUAGGUAGGAAAGUAGCUUUUUAGGCUUAGUAUUUGGCUACCUGUAAGACUCUCACUUAGCCAAAAACUGUAUGCUCUAGUUUUACUUGUGGCUUUGAAAAAUUACUUAACCACUCAGUACCUUAGUUUCCUCAGCUGUAAUAUAGAAAUAAUAAUAAUUUCUUCUUCAUAGGAUUGUUGUGAGGACUAGAUGACUUGAUACAUGUAAAGAUCUUACAUGCCUGGCACAACGAAGUGCCAGUAUUUUUAGCUCUUGUCAUUGUCAUCAUUAAUGGCCAGGUCUGCCUUCAUCGCCAUACCAUUGGCUUUUGGAUUCAAAAAUUCAUGUCUGCUAUAGCUUUGUUCUUUACCUAUUUAAUUCCCAAUGCACAUGUAUUAAGCUUCCACGUAGCACUUAUCCCAUUUGUUCCUUACUAACAUUGUCAUGGGUUAAGUAGGACAUAUGUUUUUUUAACUUUAUUUUCACAUACAAUAAAAGGUUCUCGAGUUUUUCUAUCAAUGGAAUUAUAUAUUAUAUAUCCAUUUUUUCGGUCAUGCCAUGGCAUUUAGAAGUUCUCAGCCUAAGGACUGAACCAGAGCUGCAGCAGUGACCCCGGCUGUUGCAAUGACAAUGCCGGAUCCUGUCACACCACACGAGAACUCCAAAAGGUAUCCAUUUUAAGUAUACAGUUCUAUGAGUUUAAAAUUGAAUCACCACCAUAAUCAAGAUGUAAAACAUUCCUAUUGCACCCCUAAUUGCCCUCUUCCCCUUUUAAUCUCCCAUUCUUACACCUGGGUCCAGGCAACUACUGAUCUGCUUCCUGUCACCAUAGAUUAAGGUUCUCUUGAGUUUUUCUAUCAAUGGAAUUAUAUAUUAUGUACUUUUGUAUGUCUGGCUUCUUUCACUCAGGGUAGUUAUUUUGAGGUUGAUACACAUUGUUGGAAUAGAGCUUACUGAUGAUGAAGGGCUUAGAGGUCACACAGCCAGAAAGGCGCCAUGCCUGGAUUGGCAUUGGAUUAUUCUCUACUGAUUUCUCUUCAGGAUCCAUUCCAUUGGACCAGUGAUCAUCACACUUUUAAAGCACCAGGACUCUUUCAGAUGAAAUACUCCUUAAAAUACUCAUUAAAAAAACAGACUAGGGAAUUCCUGUCGUGGUUCAGUGUUUAAUGAACCCAACUAGCAUUCAUGAGGAUGCAGGUUCGAUUACUGGUCUCGCUCCGUGGGUUAAGGAUCUGGCAUUGCUAUGAGCUGUAGUGUAGGUCACAGACGUGGCUUGGAUCCCGCGUUGCUGUGGCUCCAGUAUAGGCUGGCAACUAUAGACUAGGAAGUUCCGCGUGGCAUAUGGGUUAACGAUCCAGCAUUGCCACAGCUGUGGUGCAGGUGGUAACUGUGGCAUGGCUUCCAUUUCUGGCCUGGGAACGUCCACAUUCUGUAUGU